Small nuclear RNA from Cricetulus griseus (Chinese hamster), 104 nucleotides. NCBI's taxonomy places the organism in Eukaryota, Metazoa, Chordata, Mammalia, Rodentia, Cricetidae. The record is from Ensembl.
GUGCUCACUUCAAUAGCAUAUAUGAGAAAAGUAGAAUAAUUCAAAAUUAGACAUGGCCUCUGAGUAAGGAUGACAUACAAACUUGUGAAACAUUCCCUAUUUUU